Molecule: ribosomal RNA, 837 nt
Filed under: Triticum aestivum (bread wheat)
Lineage: Eukaryota; Viridiplantae; Streptophyta; Magnoliopsida; Poales; Poaceae
Description: partial small subunit ribosomal RNA
Source: RNAcentral
AUGAUGCAAUCUGGGCCUGAACAUUGGUGUAGAGCAUGGUUCAAAGAAGGAUCAUUCUGUGAUUCAGUCGACAACAAUAUGUGUGAAAGUUUUAACAAUUGGAUAGUGGAAUAUAGAGGUCUUCCUAUCAUCAGUAUGUUUGAAGCAAUCAGAGCAAAGGUGACUGUAAGGAUUCAAGUUAAUAGAGCUAUGCCUGCCAAUUGGAAUGGAACAAUUUGUCCCAAAAUCCUCAAAAAGGUGAACAAGUUGAUACAACUUACUGAGAAGUGUGAGACAAUAUGGAAUGGAAAAGAUGGAUAUGAGGUAAAGUUAGGACAGCAUGGAUUCAAAGUUGACUUGCAAGCAGGGACAUGUUCUUGUAGAUACUGGCAAUUGUCAGGAAUUCCAUGUGUUCAUGCUCUAGCAGCUUCACAGUGUGGCCCUGAUGACAUUGAUUCACUUAUUGCACCUUGCUACAGAAUUGAAGCUUACAAUAGGACAUAUGAACAUGUCAUGAUGCCAAUGGAGGGCAUGCCUAGCUGGCCAAUAGCUGACAGGCCUAGACCUUUAGUUCCAAGCUAUGUGCAAAUGCCUGGGACGCCCAGGACAGAGAGAAUAAGAGGUGAAGAUGAGCCUCCUAAGCAUGCACACAAACUCUCCAAGAUUGGAACUAAGAUCAAGUGUAGUUUAUGUGGAAAUCCUGGGCACAACAUGAGGAAAUGCAAUACUAACCCCAACAAGGGAAAGUACAAGAAUAGGAAGAGGAAAAAAGAAACAAAGGUGUGUAAUGAUUUUUACAUGUGUUUGAUUUCUAUUCAUUUCUAUAUGUUUUGUACUUGUGAAAUUGUAGCAAUGUGA